Non-coding RNA from Podarcis lilfordi (Lilford's wall lizard), 225 nucleotides. NCBI's taxonomy places the organism in Eukaryota, Metazoa, Chordata, Lepidosauria, Squamata, Lacertidae. The record is from the annotation of a GenBank genome assembly.
GCUUGGGAUAGUUCAGCUGGUAGAGCAUGAGACUGAAGGCAGCCCUGUUUAGGGAAGCUUUUAAUGUUUGAUGUAUUUUAAUAUUUUUUUGGAAGCCGCCCAGAGUGGCUGGGGAAACCCAGCCAGAUGGGCAGGGUAUAAAUAACAAAUUAUUAUUAUUAUUAUUAUUAUUAUUAUUAUUAUUAUUUAAUCUCAGGGUCGUGGGUGUGAGCCCCACGCUGGACA